Molecule: ribosomal RNA, 253 nt
Filed under: uncultured bacterium
Lineage: Bacteria
Description: partial 16S ribosomal RNA
Rfam family: Bacterial small subunit ribosomal RNA
Source: RNAcentral
CGAAGGGUGCAGGCGUUACUCGGAAUUACUGGGCGUAAAGCGUGCGUAGGUGGUUGUUUAAGUCUGUUGUGAAAGCCCUGGGCUCAACCUGGGAAUUGCAGUGGAUACUGGACGACUAGAGUGUGGUAGAGGGUAGUGGAAUUCCUGGUGUAGCAGUGAAAUGCGUAGAGAUCAGGAGGAACAUCCAUGGCGAAGGCAGCUACCUGGACCAACACUGACACUGAGGCACGAAAGCGUGGGAGCAAACAGGAUU